This 227-nucleotide unclassified non-coding RNA is filed under the name Hevea brasiliensis (rubber tree). The record is from RNAcentral. Lineage: Eukaryota; Viridiplantae; Streptophyta; Magnoliopsida; Malpighiales; Euphorbiaceae.
GGAACUUCUUGUGGUUCUAAUUCUAAAUAUAUAUAUAUCAGGAAGUUUGAGGAGGGUAGUCUUUCUCCAUCAUACAAAGUGAUAAAUUCCUUCCUAGUAAUUCAAACUUGUGAUUUCCAAAUUGGGAUCUCUCUGUUCAUGUUAGGAUGCAUGAUCUUUAAAUUGAAGUCUCAUAUUUAAUCACUGUACUAUCCAUACAAAGGCGCACAGAUAUUUCUUACGGGCUU